This 526-nucleotide ribosomal RNA is filed under the name uncultured bacterium. Its description in RNAcentral is "bacterial SSU rRNA". It matches the Rfam family "Bacterial small subunit ribosomal RNA", at positions 777 to 1304 of the family's 1533-position model. The record is from RNAcentral.
AAUAGAUACCCGGGUAGUCCACGCCGUAAACGAUGAGUGCUAGGUGUUAGGGGGUCCAACCCUUAGUGCCGAAGUUAACACAUUAAGCACUCCGCCUGGGGAGUACGGUCGCAAGACUGAAACUCAAAGGAAUUGACGGGGGCCCGCACAAGCGGUGGAGCAUGUGGUUUAAUUCGAAGCAACGCGAAGAACCUUACCAGGGCUUGACAUCCCUCUGACCGUUCUAGAGAUAGAGCUUCCCUUCGGGGCAGAGGUGACAGGUGGUGCAUGGUUGUCGUCAGCUCGUGUCGUGAGAUGUUGGGUUAAGUCCCGCAACGAGCGCAACCCUUGUCCUUAGUUGCCAGCAUUCAGUUGGGCACUCUAGGGAGACUGCCGGUGACAAACCGGAGGAAGGUGGGGAUGACGUCAAAUCAUCAUGCCCCUUAUGUCCUGGGCUACACACGUGCUACAAUGGCUGGUACAAAGGGUAGCGAAGCAGUGAUGUGGAGCCAAUCCCAAAAAAGCCAGUCACAGUUCGGAUUGUAGG